RNAcentral lists this ribosomal RNA (627 nucleotides) under Leucoinocybe lishuiensis. RNAcentral describes it as "Leucoinocybe sp. QN-2020a partial large subunit ribosomal RNA". It matches the Rfam family "Eukaryotic large subunit ribosomal RNA", at positions 65 to 673 of the family's 3401-position model. The record is from RNAcentral. Lineage: Eukaryota; Fungi; Basidiomycota; Agaricomycetes; Agaricales; Porotheleaceae.
CUUCAUGGCAUUCCCUAGUACUGCGAGUGAAGCGGGAAAAGCUCAAAUUUAAAAUCUGGUGGUUCUUGUAGCCAUCCGAGUUGUAAUUUAGAGAAGUGUUACCCGUGCUGGACCGUAUACAAGUCCUCUGGAAUGGGGCGUCAUAGAGGGUGAGAAUCCCGUCUUUGAUACGGACUACCAGUGCUUUUGUGGUAUGCUCUCGAAGAGUCGAGUUGUUUGGGAAUGCAGCUCAAAAUGGGUGGUAAAUUCCAUCUAAAGCUAAAUAUUGGCGAGAGACCGAUAGCGAACAAGUACCGUGAGGGAAAGAUGAAAAGAACUUUGGAAAGAGAGUUAAACAGUACGUGAAAUUGCUGAAAGGGAAACGCUUGAAGUCAGUCGCGUUAGCUGAGGAUCAGCCUUGCUUUUGCUGGGUGUACUUCUUAGUUGACUGGUCAACAUCAGUUUUGACUGCUGGAAAAGGGUCAGAGGAAUGUGGCAUCUUCGGAUGUGUUAUAGCCUUUGAUCGUAUACAGUGGUUGGGACUGAGGAACUCAGCACGCCGCAAGGCCGGGUUUUUAACCACGUACGUGCUUAGGAUGUUGGCAUAAUGGCUUUAAUCGACCCGUCUUGAACACCCCGACCACAACG